Saccostrea echinata is the source of this 2418-nucleotide long non-coding RNA. RefSeq lists it as uncharacterized. The record is from RefSeq and is a predicted model, not a curated record. The transcript has 11 exons. NCBI's taxonomy places the organism in Eukaryota, Metazoa, Mollusca, Bivalvia, Ostreida, Ostreidae.
UAACCAGUCAAGCAGUUCGGGAAAAUUAAUUCCGGUAUGGUUUCAGUUUUAUAUUAUGUAGCUGAGUACAUCGAUCCCGAAGUUAGUUUAGCGGCGGGAGAAAUAACGUUUGGCAUGAUUAGCAAGAACUGAAAAUGAAACGGAAGUAGAAACGAAGACUCGGAAGAGGUCACAAAGAAAAAUACACCGAACAUUGAUGCUACAUCGAUGAGCUGUGUUAUGUGCAUUGUAUAAGAAAAAAGAAGCGGACUGGCGGCCGGAGGGUGAGGAUUGACAGGGAAUCAAACUUGGACUCCUGCAUAGCUUGUAAGCUGCUCUAAUCCACCCAUGCCGACAUCCCGGUCAGCACAAUCCAAACCACUAAGUGUAUCUGGUCAACAGCAAUUGGACCUGCCUGAGCUUCUUGUAUCUGAUCACCAGCAAUUGAACUUGCCUAUCUGCCAUUUUCAUCUAGUUGGAAAUGAUGUAGUUUACUCAAUGGUGUGUAGACUGUCAACAUGUGAAACCUACAUAGUCUCCUCUGUUAAAGAUCACUAAUGGUGGAUAAACAAUGAGUGAUGCAGACUGUUCACCAAAAGGGAGUUUUGACACCUGUAUGCCUAUAUUUCUACCAAUCACCCUGUUAUCUUUUUUGUCAUGUUCUUUGGACAGGUAAAAUAACAAGAUCUGCUCUUUUGAUGAAAACUGUGAAAAAAGAUCCCAUUUCAUAAAAUUCUAAGAUGUUAAAAUGUAGUACAACACCUAAAAUGAAAAUUUUGUGCAUUUUUCCUGGUAAAACAAGUAGAAAGAAAAGGCUGGAGCAAAGAUGAGAAAAGUGAAUGGAGACAGAUUCUGAUGAUGCCAUCAUUGGGAGGCAGGAUGACUAUAAGACACUAAUUCCUCAUCCAUAAAGAUUUCUACAAGUGGUUCAUUUGAAAUGAAUACAGAUUUCAUUACAAGACGUGUGCAUGGUGCAACAUCCUGGAUGGUGUGUAGUAUGUUUGUUAACAUGUGAAGCCUACGUGUAUUUCAGGGAGUUGUCUCCCAUGUUUAAGAUCAGUAAUGGCGGAUAUACAAUGCAGUAUGCUGUCUGGUCAUCAACAGAGAGUUUUGACACCCGUAUUUCUACCAAUCACCUCUGUAACCUUUGUUGUGUUCAUCAGAUAGAUUCACCAGAUGCAGCUGCUCCAUCUCCAUCACUGGUGAAAUGGGAAAUGACUAGUGGACGGUCAUCACUUUGUAACUCACCAUUUUGCAGCCCAUCUCUUCUCAUCUUCAGUGGUGGCCUCUGGAGAAAUGGUUGCAGUGCAGUCUUCGUGUCUUAGGCAGAUAACUUCCUUUCCUUUGCUUCUCAGUUUUUAGCUCAACUCAACGAAAUUGGGGAACCUUAUGUGAUACCCUCAGCAUUGGUGUUGGUGUCCCAGGUUAAAGUUUUUGGAGCAGAGUUCUUUUUAACUAUGAAAAUGAAGACCUGGAGAGGAUCUUGAUUGAUUUUUCUUGAAUGAGACACAAGUGCCUUCCAUUUGUGAUACUAAAGGAAGCUGUUACAAAUUUAGUUUGCCACAGUACUGGCCUGACAUAUGAGGACAGGAAUAAAAGAUGUUUUAAAAUAGAAAUGUCUAUAAUUUAACUUAUAAGUAUGAUUAACUAAGAUCACAAACAACAAAUCAGUUGCAUUGCAAAUGUACAUAUAGCAUGUUUGCACUUACGAGGGAAUAUUCACUCCCUUUCAGUGAAAGUGUUGGCAUGCAGGUCAAUUAUUGUCACCAAAUCAUCUGUCAUAUUCUCUGCAUGCAGCUGUAGAAUUUGAUCAGAAAGAUUAGCUACACUAUUCUAUGUAUAAGUCUUAUGUAUAAAUCUAAGAUAUUUUGGUUUCUAGUCACCAGUCUAUAUUUAUAAUCAUUGUAGUGAAAAAAAAAUUCUGGUCCAUAAGUCGAUUGAGAGUUUAUGUUUUAGUGAAAUGUUUUGUUUAUUUAUUGCCAACUCGCUGUAAAUCAAAUGUAGUUAAAAAUUUCAGCACUUUCAUUGUGUUUAUGCAAUUUAUUGUUCUUCAAUGUCAGUGACAUGUAUAUCAUUUUAUGAUGCACAAUCAGUAUUAUUGUACUAGAUUUAUACUUGUCUCUUAUUGAUCUGCAUUUUUUGUGGCUAAUUAAUGUUUAAAUCCUACUGUGAACGUCUUCUUUUCACUUGGUGCCAGUGCUUGAAAGAAACCAGCCUGUCAAUAAUUUUUAAGAAGAUGCUGAGAUUAGCUUUACAUCGUAAAACAAACUGAACACUGUAUAUAGUAUAGCAUAUCAUUGUUAAAGAUGUAUGUGUGCAUGUGUGUUGUAUUGUAGAUAUAAUUCUUGUAUUACAUCAUGUAUAUUUCAUAGAAGAUUUUGUUAGAAGCUCUGUUUUCAUAAUUUAAUUAUUUUCAUGUACAUAAAGACUUUGAUCGUU